RNAcentral lists this ribosomal RNA (478 nucleotides) under uncultured bacterium. RNAcentral's name for it is "partial 16S ribosomal RNA". It matches the Rfam family "Bacterial small subunit ribosomal RNA", at positions 28 to 506 of the family's 1533-position model. The record is from RNAcentral.
GAUGAACGCUGGCGGCGUGCUUAACACAUGCAAGUCGAACGAAGCACUUAAGAUUGCUUCUUCGGAUGACGUCUUUUGUGACUUAGUGGCGGACGGGUGAGUAACGCGUGGGUAACCUGCCUCACACAGGGGGAUAACAGUUAGAAAUGACUGCUAAUACCGCAUAACCCGAUAGGAUCGCAUGAUCCAGACGGAAAAGAUUUAUCGGUGUGAGAUGGACCCGCGUCUGAUUAGCUAGUUGGUGAGGUAACGGCCCACCAAGGCGACGAUCAGUAGCCGGCCUGAGAGGGUGAACGGCCACAUUGGGACUGAGACACGGCCCAAACUCCUACGGGAGGCAGCAGUGGGGAAUAUUGCACAAUGGGGGAAACCCUGAUGCAGCGACGCCGCGUGAGUGAAGAAGUAUUUCGGUAUGUAAAGCUCUAUCAGCAGGGAAGAAAAUGACGGUACCUGACUAAGAAGCCCCGGCUAACUACGU